AGUGAACGCUGGCGGUAGGCCUAACACAUGCAAGUCGAACGGCAUCACAUUAAGAGCUUGCUCUUUCGGAGGGCGAUUAGCGGACGGGUGAGGAAUACAGCGGAAUCUACUCUUUCGUGGUGGAUAACGUAGGUAAACUUAGGCUAAUACCGCAAACGACCCAUGGGUUAAAGCAGGGAAUCUUCUCACCUUGCGCGAAUUAAUGAGCCGAUGUCGGAUUAGCUAGUUGGCGGGUUAAUGGCGCACGAACGCGACGAUACGUAGACGGUCUGAGAGGGUGAUGCGGUAGACUGGAACUGAGAAACGGUGGAGACACCUAAGCGAAGAAGCAGUGGGAAAUAUUAGAGAAUGGACGCAAGCGUGAUACAGCCAUACCGCGUGGGUGAAGAAGGACUUAGGGUUGUAAAGCCCUUUUGUUAGGAAAGAAAAGCAGUAGGUUAAUAUCCCAAUGUUCUGACGGUACCAAAGGAAUAAGCACCGGCUAACUUCGUG
RNAcentral lists this ribosomal RNA (492 nucleotides) under uncultured bacterium. RNAcentral's name for it is "partial 16S ribosomal RNA". It matches the Rfam family "Bacterial small subunit ribosomal RNA", at positions 29 to 507 of the family's 1533-position model. The record is from RNAcentral.